AACGUAGGUUCCGAGCGUUAUCCGGAUUUACUGGGCGUAAAGCGCGUUCAGGCGGUUUGGCAGGUCGGGCAUGAAAUCUCUCGGCUCAACCGGGAGAGGUUGUCCGAUACUGCUGGACUUGAGGGCAGUAGAGGGUGGUGGAAUUCCGGGUGUAGUGGUGAAAUGCGUAGAUAUCCGGAGGAACACCAGUGGCGAAAGCGGCCACCUGGACUGCACCUGACGCUGACACGCGAAAGCUAGGGGAGCGAACGGG
RNAcentral lists this ribosomal RNA (253 nucleotides) under uncultured bacterium. Its description in RNAcentral is "partial 16S ribosomal RNA". It matches the Rfam family "Bacterial small subunit ribosomal RNA", at positions 524 to 776 of the family's 1533-position model. The record is from RNAcentral.